AUGAAAAGAAGAAAUAAUUCAUCACUAGGGUUUGCAGAUAGGAAUCAGAAUAUUUGUUUGUUUUAUCACAAUCAUUUUCCCCAACUGCAAAUCACAAAAAAGACUACCUUUCUUGGUUCACAAAAGAAGAAAAAAAAUAAAAAUUACAAACAGCAAGCAAUAACAUGUGCAAUUCAAAGCCACAACAUAACCAAGUCUGUAAAGAAAACCCUAUCCAUUGCUGCCCAACCUGUUAUACAUACAACACCCAAACUACAAGCCAAAUAA
This is a non-coding RNA of Vicia faba (fava bean), 267 nucleotides long. NCBI's taxonomy places the organism in Eukaryota, Viridiplantae, Streptophyta, Magnoliopsida, Fabales, Fabaceae. The record is from the annotation of a GenBank genome assembly.